Molecule: long non-coding RNA, 564 nt
Organism: Hyaena hyaena (striped hyena)
Lineage: Eukaryota; Metazoa; Chordata; Mammalia; Carnivora; Hyaenidae
Exons: 2
Source: RefSeq, a predicted model, not a curated record
GUGGGACAUUGAAAUGAGGCAUGAUUGGUAUGUAAACUUUGUAAAAAAAAAUCAUUCUUAAAGCUUGGCUUCAAACAUCUCAUCAUCUAUUUCUAUGGUGCUUGUAAACACUGGCUCAAUAAAACCUCUUUAGCUUCAAAAAGUUGAAUUGGAACUCAAUACCAGAUCUCAGGAAAGCCAUCGCUUUUCAGGAAAAGGAAGAAUUCAACUAACAACAGAAUAGAGGUCUACAAAAUGUAUGGAGGAAAUGGAAAGUCAUUCCAGCAAAAAGGAUAUGAGGCAAAAGUAGCAAAGGGAAAAGGUGCAUGGAGCAAAGCCCAAAGGAAAGCAGGUACAGUUUUCCAGUUUUCCAAGAGUCUCCUCGCGGUGGAGUCUCAGAAGACAUGCAGUUUACAAUUCCUUGAGCACUGAGUGAUGACGACACCUGUGAAAUGUCUACCGGGAAAGCACAUAUGGACUCAUCACCAAUGCUUUUACCUAUGACUGACCAUGCACACGCCCUCUGCCUCGAAGAUCCCCAGAAGGAAAACGGGUAGUCACCGUAAAACAUAAUUUUUGUGCAAA